Molecule: ribosomal RNA, 406 nt
Filed under: uncultured bacterium
Lineage: Bacteria
Description: partial 16S ribosomal RNA
Rfam family: Bacterial small subunit ribosomal RNA
Source: RNAcentral
UGGGGAAUAUUGGACAAUGGGGGCAACCCUGAUCCAGCAAUGCCGCGUGUGUGAAGAAGGUCUUCGGAUUGUAAAGCACUUUCGACGGGGACGAUGAUGACGGUACCCGUAGAAGAAGCCCCGGCUAACUUCGUGCCAGCAGCCGCGGUAAUACGAAGGGGGCUAGCGUUGCUCGGAAUGACUGGGCGUAAAGGGCGUGUAGGCGGUUUACACAGUCAGAUGUGAAAUCCCCGGGCUUAACCUGGGAGCUGCAUUUGAUACGUGUAGACUAGAGUGUGAGAGAGGGUUGUGGAAUUCCCAGUGUAGAGGUGAAAUUCGUAGAUAUUGGGAAGAACACCGGUGGCGAAGGCGGCAACCUGGCUCAUGACUGACGCUGAGGCGCGAAAGCGUGGGGAGCAAACAGGAU